UUUUGUCAAAAUGACUUUUCAAAAAUAAAUAAUUAUAAAGGAAAAGAAGAAAUUUUUCAAAAAUUUUUUUUUUUUCAAAAACGCCAAGGCCAUGUUGUCUUUGUUCUGUUACACGAUUCGGAUAUAUAAUUUAACGACUUCUGUGUUUUGUGGAGAGUAUACGUGUUUUUGUCUUAUUUUGCAAUAAUAAAUCUUAAUUUCUCAUAAUACUAGUAUUUGGGUUUACUACAAAUCGAUGUGUGUCAAUGUACGUAGUAAACACAAUUCCAUAAUACUUUCAUCAUGGUAUUUUUACCAGUGUGUCUCGGGUAUUAAACGUACUUAUAAUUUUUGAAAUUUUUCCUGUUAUAAGUAAUGUACAACUAAGAAAUGUAAGCGAAGAUUUUCUAAGUGAUUACAGUCUGUUGUAGUUCUAACGGUACACUCGUUGAUCUCGUCUAGACUUAGUGGCGCCUUUAUAAAGGUGAAAAGUCACAAAGCAAAGAGGCAUUUGUUUAAAGAAAAUACCAACUUUUUGCAAUUUUUGUUAUAAUUUUUUAAUUGUACGAUUUUCUAGUUUAAUUCAAAAUUGGGAAAUCUGAUACCGUUGUUCGAAAUUUAUUAAAAAAGCGCAAAAAUUUUAGUAAGAGACCCAUGCCACAAGGUAUCAAAAAUCCAAGCUUGCGUGCUAAAGGCCGAAAUCGUAACGAACCCACCAAAAAUUGGUGGACAUGUGCACAAAUACACAAUAAAAUAUGUCUUUCUGUGAUCAAACGACUCCUGACGCUUGCUUUGAGAGAAACUGUAGGCAUGAAAUGAAAAAAAAACGAUCGAGCAUCGAAUAGUGGCGAAGUUCCACACAGAGACGAGUUCGGCGUUUGCUCAAAAGUAUAUGCAGAGUGGGAAUACGUCAUAUUUUCAGACGAGAAGAAAUUCAAUUUUGAUACUUCUGAUGAUUUCACCUUCUCUUGGAAGGUUACCGGCAAAUACAUGUCCAAAGAACGAUGCGAAAUUUUGGAGGGGGUUUUGUGAUGGUAUGAGGUCCCUUUGCGUACAAUCAUAAGCUGUCGCCGUACUUUAUUACUAGAAAAAUGAACUCAAAGAAGGAUACAGAGUUGCUGGAUAAUGUGUUAAUUACAUUUAUGCUAAAGAGUACAUUUUUAGGCAAGACAAUGUUGUCAUACAUGUGUCGAAAAAAGCGAAACAGUGGUUUCAAGACAAAGAAAUACAUUGUUUGGACUGUCCUGCAUGUUGUUGAGAUUGUAAUCCCAUUGAAAAUUUAUGGGAGAUACUGUCUAUAAAAGUAUACACAAAUUGCAUUUAAGGAACUUGUUGAACGGAAAUUGACCCCAUUGAUCAAAACAUCCAAAAAAGUAAACUCAAAUGCGUUUAGUCAAAUGUGCUAUUUUCAAAAAAAAAAAAUAUAUUUUGAGUAAAAAUUUUUUGUAAAUUAACUAAAAAUAAUUUUUAAAAUGAUUUCUAAAUUAGUUCUGAGUGCUAUUGCAAAAAAAUAUAAACAAUAGAUUGAAAUUUUAAAUAUAAUAACAAAAAAGA
Molecule: long non-coding RNA, 1533 nt
Organism: Zeugodacus cucurbitae (melon fly)
Lineage: Eukaryota; Metazoa; Arthropoda; Insecta; Diptera; Tephritidae
Exons: 3
Source: RefSeq, a predicted model, not a curated record